Molecule: ribosomal RNA, 201 nt
Filed under: uncultured bacterium
Lineage: Bacteria
Description: partial 16S ribosomal RNA
Rfam family: Bacterial small subunit ribosomal RNA
Source: RNAcentral
GAAGGCUGAAAUUCGCCUUCAUGAAGCCGGAAUUGCUAGUAAUGGCAGGUCAGCAUACUGCCGUGAAUACGUUCCCGGGCCUUGUACACACCGCCCGUCACACCAUGAGAGUUGGGAAUACCCGAAGCCUGUGAGCUAACUGUAAAGAGGCAGCAGUCGAAGGUAGAAUCAAUGAUUGGGGUGAAGUCGUAACAAGGUAAC